RNAcentral lists this ribosomal RNA (253 nucleotides) under uncultured bacterium. RNAcentral describes it as "partial 16S ribosomal RNA". It matches the Rfam family "Bacterial small subunit ribosomal RNA", at positions 524 to 776 of the family's 1533-position model. The record is from RNAcentral.
UACGAAGGGUGCAAGCGUUACUCGGAAUUACUGGGCGUAAAGCGUGCGCAGGCGGUUUUGUAAGUCUGUUGUGAAAUCCCCGGGCUCAACCUGGGAAUGGCAAUGGAGACUGCAAGGCUAGAGUUUGGCAGAGGGGGGUAGAAUUCCACGUGUAGCAGUGAAAUGCGUAGAUAUGUGGAGGAACACCGAUGGCGAAGGCAGCCCCCUGGGUCAAAACUGACGCUCAUGCACGAAAGCGUGGGGAGCAAACAGG